Long non-coding RNA from Anthonomus grandis grandis, 3045 nucleotides. RefSeq lists it as uncharacterized. The transcript is spliced from 3 exons. NCBI's taxonomy places the organism in Eukaryota, Metazoa, Arthropoda, Insecta, Coleoptera, Curculionidae. The record is from RefSeq and is a predicted model, not a curated record.
UCCAGCAGCGAACAACGUGAUAUGGUCCAAUUCUUUGAAUAGAAAUUCGCAACGCUCCUGCCAACAAUAUCUGGAGCAAUAUCCAGAGCGCCCCCAACCUAAUUAUACGUAUUUCGGAGCUUUGGACAGGAACCUUAGCCUCUAUGGAAGUUUCACUAAACCUCGAAAUAUGUAUGGGACUCGAGUGCAUCCUGAAACCGAGCAGGCGAUUAUUAAUGCUGUAAGUUUUACAACGAUAUACUUUCACAAUAACUUUUUAUCAGAUAGCUUUCGUUAAAGGUUACCCAAAAUCCGCAAGGUUCAACCAGACAAUUUUCCCGUGAAUUGAAUAUGCCAAGUACCCGUAUCCACAGAGUAUUGAGAAAAAAUCGCUAUCGCCCCUAUAAACUUCAUAUCAGUCAAGAACUUAGGCAUGGAGAUACCGAUAGAAGGCUUCAGUUUUGCAAUUGGUUGACCGAAAAACUGCAAGAUAAUGAAGACUUUUUAAACAAAAUAAUUUGGACAGAUGAAUGUAACUUUUCGACCAACGGGCUAUUUAAUCGGAAUAAUGAACAUUUUUAUUCAGUCGAAAAUCCGAGACAAAACCGCGAAGUAAGAAGACAGGGGCAUAAUUCUUUCAAUGUUUGGGUGGGUCUUUACAGGAAUCGAAUUUUGGGACCCAUUAUAUACGACGGUAAUUUAACUGCUGAGCGCUAUUUAGAUUUAAUUCUGCCAAAUAUAUUCGAUGUUCUUGAAAAUGAACCUCUUGAUAUUAUCCGCGAUUUGUGGUGGCAGCAGGAUGGUGCACCACCCUAUAAUGGAAGGAAUGUCACACGAUUUUUAAAUCAUAAUUUUCCUAAUCAGUGGAUUGGAAAUCAAGGGGUGGUGCGCUGGCCAGCUAGAAGUCCCGAUCUUUCCCCGUUGGAUUAUUUUCUUUGGGGCUAUUUAAAGAACAGACUAUUUAAGAACACCCCAAAUGAUAUAAACAUUUUACGUGCAAAUUUAUUGACAGAAUUAAGGGGUAUACGAGCCAGGACUAUCCAGCGGGCAGUGUCUGGAAAUUUACGUAGAAGGAUACAGAAAUGUAUUGAGGUGCAGGGUCAACUAUUUGAAUAUUUACUUUAAACUUAAAAUAUUGCAUUUUUUCGCAUUAAGUUCUAUUAUUUUUAGUUUGUGUUGUUCAACAUACAAAUUACCCACAUAGCAAUGAGAAGCAUAUUCAUAUCUAUAGCAUAUACCCAGAAUGUGAUUGAACGUAUAUUCUUAUUUUCAUAUUCUUAACAUGUUCUACCAAGAUAUAGUUAUGUACCACCUAUAUUCUUAGACGUAUGUUCCCGUGCAUUUAUUCAUAACAUAUGCUAAGAAUAUUUCGCCAUAUUCUUAUAAAAUACUUUAUAGGAUAUACUUCAGACGAUGUGCGUAGCAUAUGCUUAUGAUAUACCGGGAUAUAUUAUACAAAACAACAUGACAAUAGCGCCACCUGGUGCUACUGCCUCAGCCGGUAGUGGGGCCAGCCGGUAUUUUUCACAUUUUUGACGCCAUCGGUGUCAUAGACAAACGAUCGAACGAAUAUCGGUGUUUAUUUUUUAUUUUCCGUUUUGUUCUCUGUUCUUUUCUUUGAGAAACUUUUAUUAUCGUAUACGAGGCCUGUAGUUCCGUAGUCAAAAUCGUGUAUAAAAAUAGUGUAUACCGUGAGGGUUUACUGUAGCAAUGUACAUAAAUGAGGAUUGAGGGUUAGGUUUAGGAACAUUAAAUUCCAAAAAAACAUUAAGCAGGGGUAUUCUUCAGAAGACUCUGAGUUUUAUUGAAAUUUCAAAAAAGAAGACUGUCUUGUGUGUUCUAAGGAUCUAGGUAUUAGUGUAGGUAGGUACACAGCUUUUUUAGUUUGUAAUAUUUCAAUUUAUACCUAGUUUGAUAGGUUUUAAUUUUUCUAAUUAGUUUUAGUUAUUGUGUUUAAGUUAAGUUUGAAGAGGUAUCACAUAAAAUGUCAACAAAAAAACAACCAAAAAGUAAACGUUCACUUAGACGCAUAGUGACCAAAAAAACUGAAACAGAACUUUUGCUGACUUCAGAUGACACUCUAUGACCCUAUCCAGAGUUAUAAUUGAUGCAGUGAGAUGUAAUAAAUGAACCUCAAAUGCGUGUGAUGAUGAAAUAAUCAGUGAAAUAAAAAGAUGGCUGGUCAAGGCAAAGGAAAGAUUGCAAAACAAAAACAAGAGAAGUGAAAAAUUGGCUGACAAACGGAAUACACAAGAGGACAAUAAUGUAUAAAAUAUGUGGCAUUAUGUGAUUUUUAUUGAAUAAAUUUUAUAAGCAUAUUUUAUGUAGCUGAUUUUUGUAGCAAGUAUGUUCCAAGAAUGUGCUAUGCAUAUAUAGCCAAGUAUUCCCAGUAUAUUUCUAGAACAUUCCUAAUCCUAGUGCAUAGCAUAUGCUACUUGCGGCCAAAAGUAUAUGCUGAGCAUUUUCUCAGUACAUAUAACUAUAAUUCUUAGCACAUGCUCAGCACAUAUUUCCAAUAUUCUUAUACGUAAAAGUCGAUUCUAAGCACAUGCUAGGUAUAUAAUUUUGCUAUGUGGGUAGUAAUAAAUUAUAGUUGUUACUAUUGUUAUUGUUAAAAUUUAGUAUAAUAUAUCAAAUUUAUACUAUUUUUACCAUGUUAAUAAUUAAAAAAUUUCGUCAAAAACAUUGAUUUAUUCAAUAAAUGAUAGUGUUAAGAUAAAUUAUUACUUUUUAUUUCAAACAACAGGACAGUAUUAACUUUUUUUUAAUAAAAGUAAAUUUUUGACAUCAAAAUCUUGGAAAAUUAAACUAUGUGAUAUGUCAUUUCUCUAAGAAUAAAAAGGGGAAUUAAAAUGAGUAAAAAAAAUUUCAGGGCCGUAUUUAAAAAAAUAAAGUUGAUGAUGGUUGCCAAAAGACGAAACGUCGGAUUUUAAAUUUGACGACGCCAUCUGGUAGAGGAGAAAAAGUGACAAUAAUAAAGUGUCAAUUAUUUUAAAAUAUGUUUUCAAAUAACCUCACAAAAAAAUAAAAACGAUUUUCCAAAAUUUCGGUAUUUUCCGAAUAACU